CCUACGGGAGGCUGCAGUGGGGAAUUUUGGACAAUGGGGGCAACCCUGAUCCAGCCAUGCCGCGUGCGGGAAGAAGGCCUUCGGGUUGUAAACCGCUUUUAGCCGGGAAGAAAAGGCACUCCCUAAUACGGGGUGUUCUUGACGGUACCGGCGGAAUAAGCACCGGCUAACUACGUGCCAGCAGCCGCGGUAAUACGUAGGGUGCGAGCGUUAAUCGGAAUUACUGGGCGUAAAGCGUGCGCAGGCGGUUCGUUAAGUUCGAUGUGAAAGCCCCG
RNAcentral lists this ribosomal RNA (275 nucleotides) under uncultured bacterium. Its description in RNAcentral is "partial 16S ribosomal RNA". It matches the Rfam family "Bacterial small subunit ribosomal RNA", at positions 338 to 605 of the family's 1533-position model. The record is from RNAcentral.